This is a long non-coding RNA of Carassius auratus (goldfish), 520 nucleotides long. RefSeq lists it as uncharacterized. The transcript is spliced from 3 exons. NCBI's taxonomy places the organism in Eukaryota, Metazoa, Chordata, Actinopteri, Cypriniformes, Cyprinidae. The record is from RefSeq and is a predicted model, not a curated record.
AGGUUCUGAUGCGGUUCGGCUGAUGAGUUCAGAAGCAGCUUCACACGGGCCUGUAGGACAAGCGAAGCUCAGCGUCGCUUCUGUCUGUGAGGAAUAGCGAUGGAGGGAUGAUCGGCACCGGCCCGGUGUUUGAUGAUGAACCGGAGCGACGGAGCGGCGGCGGCCGAGCGGGAUUUUGUUGUGGAUGGAGAGGAAAAUGUGUGCAGAGCUGCUGGUUACAUGACAGACUGUCUGAAUGAAGACACUGAUAAAGUUCCUCUUCAAACGCACCCACUGAGGGAAUUUGAGCAGGUGAGAUCUUCAGUCUAUGUCUGCAGUGGUUCAGCUCAUCUCAUGUAAAAUUAGAUCAAAUGAAACUGAUUCCAUCAUUGAUCUAAAACACAUCCAUCUGUUUCCAAACGGCCGCUGGAGUCGUUUCAGAGGAAGGAAGCGCUCUGGACAGAUGAGAUCCACAGCUGCUCUCUUGCGCCAUCAUCUGCUGUUUGCUGUAUUGCGUGUGACGUCACACAUGAUUGUGAAC